UGGCUAGGCAAGUCCCUUGUUAAAUCCACCGAAUUAAUCGUUGGAUCGCGGGGGAUACUGCUUGGCUAGGGGACGAGAGAGGCAGACGGUAUUUUCGGGGUAGGGGUGAAAUCCUAUAAUCCCGGGAAGACCACCAGUGGCGAAGGCUGUCUGCUAGAACGCGCCCGACGGUGAGGGAUGAAAGCUGGGGGAGCGAACCGGAUUAGAUACCCGGGUAGUCCCAGCUGUAAACGAUGCAGACUAGGUGUUUGGACGGCCACGUGCCGUUCUAGUGCCGCAGGGAAGCUGUUAAGUCUGCCGCCUGGGGAGUACGAUCGCAAGAUUGAAACUUAAAGGAAUUGGCGGGGGAGCACCACAAGGGGUGAAGCUUGCGGUUUAAUUGGAGUCAACGCCGGAAAUCUCACCGGGAGCGACAGCAGUAUGAAAGCCAGAUUGAAGGUCUUGCUAGACGAGCUGAGAGGAGGUACAUGGCCGUCGCCAGUUCGUGCCGUGAGGUGUCCUGUUAAGUCAGGCAACGAUCGAGACCCGCGUCCUCUGUUGCUACCAGCUUUCGAGCUGGGCACACUGAGGAGACCGCCACUGAUAAAGUUGGUAGGAAGGAG
Molecule: ribosomal RNA, 602 nt
Filed under: uncultured archaeon
Lineage: Archaea
Description: bacterial SSU rRNA
Rfam family: Archaeal small subunit ribosomal RNA
Source: RNAcentral